This 468-nucleotide ribosomal RNA is filed under the name uncultured bacterium. RNAcentral describes it as "partial 16S ribosomal RNA". It matches the Rfam family "Bacterial small subunit ribosomal RNA", at positions 28 to 507 of the family's 1533-position model. The record is from RNAcentral.
GACGAACGCUGGCGGCGUGCUUAACACAUGCAAGUCGAACGGAAAGGCCCUGCUUUUGUGGGGUGCUCGAGUGGCGAACGGGUGAGUAACACGUGAGUAACCUGCCCUUGACUUUGGGAUAACUUCAGGAAACUGGGGCUAAUACCGGAUAGGAGCUCCUGCUGCAUGGUGGGGGUUGGAAAGUUUCGGCGGUUGGGGAUGGACUCGCGGCUUAUCAGCUUGUUGGUGGGGUAGUGGCUUACCAAGGCUUUGACGGGUAGCCGGCCUGAGAGGGUGAACGGGCACAUGGGGCCUGAGAGACGGACCAGACUCCUACGGGAGGCAGCAGGGGGGAAUAUUGCACAAUGGGCGGAAGCCUGAUGCAGCAACGCCGCGUGCGGGAUGACGGCCUUCGGGUUGUAAACCGCUUUCGCCUGUGACGAAGCGUGAGUGACGGUAAUGGGUAAAGAAGCACCGGCUAACUACGUG